RNAcentral lists this transfer RNA (85 nucleotides) under Caulobacter sp. RNAcentral's name for it is "tRNA-Leu". It matches the Rfam family "tRNA". From Rfam's summary of the family: Transfer RNA (tRNA) molecules are approximately 80 nucleotides in length. Their secondary structure includes four short double-helical elements and three loops (D, anti-codon, and T loops). The record is from RNAcentral. Lineage: Bacteria; Pseudomonadati; Pseudomonadota; Alphaproteobacteria; Caulobacterales; Caulobacteraceae. RNAcentral also lists the same sequence under 18 other names.
GGGGACGUGGCGGAAUCGGUAGACGCGCCGGACUUAAAAUCCGUUGGAGCAAUCCGUGUGGGUUCGAGUCCCACCGUCCCUACCA